This 64-nucleotide transfer RNA is filed under the name Lophocebus aterrimus (Black crested mangabey). RNAcentral's name for it is "tRNA-Thr". It matches the Rfam family "tRNA". From Rfam's summary of the family: Transfer RNA (tRNA) molecules are approximately 80 nucleotides in length. Their secondary structure includes four short double-helical elements and three loops (D, anti-codon, and T loops). Further hydrogen bonds mediate the characteristic L-shaped molecular structure. tRNAs have two regions of fundamental functional importance: the anti-codon, which is responsible for specific mRNA codon recognition, and the 3' end, to which the tRNAs corresponding amino acid is attached (by aminoacyl-tRNA synthetases). tRNAs cope with the degeneracy of the genetic code in two manners: having more than one tRNA (with a specific anti-codon) for a particular amino acid; and 'wobble' base-pairing, i.e. permitting non-standard base-pairing at the 3rd anti-codon position. Lineage: Eukaryota; Metazoa; Chordata; Mammalia; Primates; Cercopithecidae. The record is from RNAcentral.
GCCCUUGUAGUACAAAUCAAUACACUGGUCUUGUAAACCAGAAAUGGAACACCUCCCUAGGGUA